This 77-nucleotide transfer RNA is filed under the name Porticoccaceae bacterium. RNAcentral's name for it is "tRNA-Arg". It matches the Rfam family "tRNA". Rfam says of the family: Transfer RNA (tRNA) molecules are approximately 80 nucleotides in length. Their secondary structure includes four short double-helical elements and three loops (D, anti-codon, and T loops). Lineage: Bacteria; Pseudomonadati; Pseudomonadota; Gammaproteobacteria; Cellvibrionales; Porticoccaceae. The record is from RNAcentral.
GGGGGAUUAGCUCAGCUGGAUAGAGCAUCCGCCUUCUAAGCGGAGGGUCACAGGUUCAAAUCCUGUAUCCCCUACCA